GCACAACGCGAAGAACCUUACCCACCUUUGACAUGUACGGAAUCCUUUAGAGAUAGAGGAGUGCUCGAAAGAGAGCCGUAACACAGGUGCUGCAUGGCUGUCGUCAGCUCGUGUCGUGAGAUGUUGGGUUAAGUCCCGUAACGAGCGCAACCCUUGUCCUUAGUUACCAGCACGUCAUGGUGGGCACUCUAAUGGGACUGCCGGUGACAAACCGGAGGAAGGUGGGGAUGACGUCAAGUCCUCAUGGCCCUUAUAGGUGGGGCUACACACGUCAUACAAUGGCUGGUACAGAGGGUUGCCAACCCGCGAGGGGGAGCCAAUCCCAUAAAGCCAGUCGUAGUCCGGAUCGCAGUCUGCAACUCGACUGCGUGAAGUCGGAAUCGCUAGUAAUCGCGGAUCAGAAUGUCGCGGUGAAUACGUUCCCGGGUCUUGUACACACCG
Molecule: ribosomal RNA, 441 nt
Filed under: uncultured bacterium
Lineage: Bacteria
Description: bacterial SSU rRNA
Rfam family: Bacterial small subunit ribosomal RNA
Source: RNAcentral